RNAcentral lists this ribosomal RNA (396 nucleotides) under uncultured bacterium. RNAcentral's name for it is "partial 16S ribosomal RNA". It matches the Rfam family "Bacterial small subunit ribosomal RNA", at positions 523 to 918 of the family's 1533-position model. The record is from RNAcentral.
AUACGAAGGGUGCAAGCGUUAAUCGGAAUUACUGGGCGUAAAGCGCGCGUAGGUGGUUCAGCAAGUUGGAUGUGAAAGCCCCGGGCUCAACCUGGGAACUGCAUCCAAAACUACUGAGCUAGAGUACGGUAGAGGGUGGUGGAAUUUCCUGUGUAGCGGUGAAAUGCGUAGAUAUAGGAAGGAACACCAGUGGCGAAGGCGACCACCUGGACUGAUACUGACACUGAGGUGCGAAAGGGUGGGGAGCAAACAGGAUUAGAUACCCUGGUAGUCCACGCCGUAAACGAUGUCAACUAGUUGUUGGGUUCCUUGAGAACUUAGUAACGAAGCUAACGCGAUAAGUUGACCGCCUGGGGAGUACGGCCGCAAGGUUAAAACUCAAAUGAAUUGACGGGG